UGGGCUCGUUCAGCCUCUCCCUGGAAACCUCCUGCUCGAGGGUCUUCGUUCCUGUCGUUGCUCUCGUGUCCUGAGAUUGCGUGCUCAGAUUACAAGUUCUACGGUAAGAUGCACGGUCCAAAUACAAGUUUCGAGUGCGUACUUCCAUCUCAAAUAAGAAGAGUUACUCGCGAGAGUCUGGAAUUCCCAAACCCACGAGACUCUCGGAAACAGCAGGAAGCAUCGAUCAAUCUUAGCGCUUCGGGAGUAGCAAUUAAGCUCGGGAAGAUCAAGUUCUCGGGAAAAAACGAGAAGGGUCCAUUGGCGUAACUAGGAUCUUUGUCCGAGGGGAGGCAGUCUUACACGAACUUUGGACAAUUAAUAUAUUUUUGUGUCGUUAAUAUUUCAAUAUUGCAUCGGCAGUAUGCAUAAUAGAUAUCAUGAAAGUGGAAGUUUGUAAAUUCAGAAAUAUCGAUAGUAUAUUGAUUGUCCGAGGUUUGCGUUAAAUCACCAUGCGUUAUAUCGCCGAUUGCUGCAUAUCCACGUGUUCGAUCAUGCGUAGCUUUACAUACUCCGACAUAAAUCAUUCGAUCACGCAAUAUAUCGACAUAUGCCAUAUCUGUAGAUCCAGAGUGAGAGAUAGUAGGAGCACCCUGUCUAGUUACGCCACUGCGAGAAUCUCUCGUUCGCGAGAUUCAAUAAACCUCGCGACUGGAAUUUCGUUUGUAGGAGGAAAAGUUUGCCCGAGUGCAGCGCAGACGGGCUACCGAGCCGUUUUUAUUUCCCAGAAAAGAAACGAGGAGAAACGUAAUAGAAAGGUCGAGGAAAAGGGGCGAAAAAGGAUCGUCAGCCCCUUUUUUACCGGGUCGUUCGCGACAAUGCGAUAUUAACGAGACACCUGACGAGUAGCGUGUAACUCGAUUUCUUAAUUUGACUUUUUAAUCGAGAUUUAACGAGCGGAGAGGAAAGACGGGGAACUCUGGUCGGUGUUGUAGACGUGGCAGUGAACGGUGUCGAACCUGGUCGUUGAAGUGGCGCGGGGACGAUGGCAAGGGGCAGGGGAUUAUGACGGCAAGCAUGUUGGAAACGAGGUCAAAGGGGAUGAGUGGAUGGCUAAGGAAAGUGUACGACCGAGCGGAUAUAAAAUUUCACGAUAACUCGGUUAUGAAACUGCGCGUUUCGUUCGAGCAAACGCCGCUUCCGUGCGAGGACCACCUCUUCUAGUCUUUUCAAAGCGCGUCGAGUUGUUCUGUUGCUUUUUUACUCCUCGUUCCAUUCUAUCCUUCGCUUCUUGAGCAAAAUGGUUCCUACGAUUACCGCGAGACGUUCGGUCACCGAUUUUUCUAUUCGUCAAGCUCUUUUGCUUAUUUUAACACCGAAUAAUUAUUACGUUAUUAAACUUGAAUGUUUUCUGCAGAUAAUAAUUUGCAAAAGUGUCUCGUACCAAGGUAGAAUUGUACCAAUGUAAUUUUCUAAAUAUCCGAUGACGUUGCAAUCAGUCUAUUUGUAAAUUAAAAAAUUUCAAAGCGUU
Megachile rotundata (alfalfa leafcutting bee) is the source of this 1510-nucleotide long non-coding RNA. NCBI's taxonomy places the organism in Eukaryota, Metazoa, Arthropoda, Insecta, Hymenoptera, Megachilidae. The record is from RefSeq and is a predicted model, not a curated record.